Long non-coding RNA from Passer domesticus (house sparrow), 1421 nucleotides. RefSeq lists it as uncharacterized. The transcript has 6 exons. The record is from RefSeq and is a predicted model, not a curated record. NCBI's taxonomy places the organism in Eukaryota, Metazoa, Chordata, Aves, Passeriformes, Passeridae.
CCAUCAAAACCAGCAUGAUAUAGGAAGUGAGAUAGAAAGAAGAACACGAAAAUGUGCAGAAGAGAUCAGCAACAUCAGUUAUGUUCUGUAGCCACAGAACUGAAAAAGAGAGAGGCUGAGGAUGUUUGGACCACAAGAUGGAGACCCAGAAAUUGCUUAAGCCAUCUGCUUAAUGAAAAAUCACUAGAUAUGUGAAGAUGUCACCAUGGACCAUCCCAGGGAUUGCCAAGAGGAGCAUCCUGAUUGCCAGCAAGUCCAAGUGGUCCCAUCAUUAUGGUGCUGAUGUGUGGUGCAAAUCUAAAGCAAUCCCAAGUAUAUUUUCUUCUGCGGCAGAAACCUCUGGUGAGAUGGAUGCUAAUAUUUUAAUUGAGCUUUGAUUUGAGAAGAGAUCUGAGAAUUGGCAAACUGUAGCACCAUACACCUUUGCUGUCAAAAAAUUUCCUCUGCAGGGCACUAAUUGCCAUGUCCAUGCAAGGAGCUUGAGAGACCUGAGGGGAUGGGCUCCCAAGAAACCGAGAGUUUUCUGCUGUGUGAGGUCCAAGUCCUGGCAUGAACUUCCAUGACAAUUUACUUCUCUCUGAAGCUUUUGAAGCCUUCACACAGAAGCUGCCUUUGCCAGGGAAGAAUUCAGAAUUAACAUCCUGCAGGGUGUUAAUCCAAGCAGACCAGACAGACAGAGAAAUGAUUAUCCCUUACUUAUCAAUGGAGAUUUGAGGGAUUAAACCUUGGCUCCAGAGACCCAGGAUGGAUAUGUCCUCUGAGGACAUCAUGUCAGAUUCCUGAAGGCUGCCCAAGCAGGCCACAUCUAACUUUCCUGAGAAGAAGACUGUUUCUCUUCUUGGGCUGGCAUUAUCACGAGAGGGACACAGGAGUGAAACAGAGACACAAAGCCCAACUACCUUGUAGGUGGGUGAACCCUAAAGAGCUCUACAGGAUCAAACUGUGAAUCCUAAACAUGGAAUCCUUAAACAGGAUCAAACUGCCUCUUCAUAAAGUAAUUUUCACAGAAAAUUUUGUUCUUGGAGACACUCUAGGUCUUCUCAUUCAGUACUACAGAUAGGGACAGGUAAGUGUAUGGAUACACACACUUUGAUUACUGCACACUUCCAAGGGUUAUUUUCCCUGGUGACUGCAAAUGCUGCCUUCUCCUUGGCCCAGCUGAAGCACAAUAUAUGAACCUUCUGCCUGAAGGAUGGAGUGUGCCCUGUAUUGCACAAUACCAGGAGUAAAAAUUUAUUAAGAACCUCUUAGGACUUCCCUCUUUUGCUAUCUGCUAUCUUGUCUCUGCUAUUGCCCUGUGAAAUGAGGCUGCCUGGAAAACCAAAAGAAAAAGGAAAAGAGAGGGUCUGGAUCUUCCAGGGUUAUAGAUUUCUUUUUCAGUAAAUAAAUCUGCAGAGACUUGUGGCCUCCAAAAUGGUAGC